Molecule: long non-coding RNA, 1418 nt
Organism: Carassius gibelio (silver crucian carp)
Lineage: Eukaryota; Metazoa; Chordata; Actinopteri; Cypriniformes; Cyprinidae
Exons: 2
Source: RefSeq, a predicted model, not a curated record
ACCAUGACUCGGUCGCUCGUGUCAUAUCUGGGGGCGUGGCUUUCCCUCUGACAGGAAAUGAAUGUAAAUCUGUAGAGCUGCGUAAAGUCACUUUUGCUGAGAUCAAUCCACACAGAUGAACUUGCAGGGGCUUCAAGCCUCAACCACAAACCAACGAAUUGAAAGCUGUUGGUCAUACUUCAGAAAAAAAGGGUAUAGUCUACAUUCAUGAUAAUGUGGAUGUUUUAAUGUUUUAAUAUUACUUUUCUUGAUGAAUUUUAAAGUUUCCUGGUUUCUCAGACAAAGCUUAAACCUAAUCCUAGAUUCAAAUUUAUAUUUGAGCUGUUUUAAUUGAAAGCAACUUGUUCUGAAGUAUCUUAAAAUAUCUCAGUGCUAGUGUUUUGUCUCUACUUAAAUGUCCUAAUUAAACUAAGUCCUAAUUCUGUCUUAAAGCCCUGUCUGUAAACCAGGCCUGAAUGUAUAAAAGGGAUGUUGAUGUUGGUUUAUUUACACGGGUCUCAGAUCUGGAUGGAUCUUCUAAAUGACUUGAAAGAGAGUCAACUCUUUAAUGGCAGUCAUGAGCAAAUAUGCUUGGUGCGGUUUGUGUUUUUAAGUGUUCUGCAGAUGGACCUUGUCUCGUUGUCGUUCUGGUAAACCAGAUGCAAUGUUCGCUCUUCCACACAGGUUUAAUGGGAGAGAAUGUGGAUUUCGUGUCUCCCAGGAAGACUUUUUCAUUGAACCUACUAUUAGUUCAUGUGGAGAUGAACAGCUUCAGGCAAACGUUGAAGAACUACAAACUCAAAGCUGUCUGACUACACGUCACACUUGGGAGACUGGUGUGGAGAACUAUUUAACUUUAAAGAACAUCGCCCGCAUUUAAACUCUGGUUAGUUCAGAAACGUUUGUUACGAAAAACAUCCACUGUUAAAGGGAUAGUUCACCCAAAAAUAAAAACAGUCAUAAUAUACUCAACUGCAUGUUGUUCCAAACAUAUAUGACUUUCUUUUUUCUGAAGGUGAUAUUUUGAAGAAUGUUGUUAACCAGACACUUGAUGAUACCCACUGAUUUCCAUAGUAAGAAUUUAUUUAUUUAUUUAUUUUUUUUUUGGGUGAGCUGUCCCCUUACAUUGUUCUACUAAGUGCAAAUCAAAACCAGGUGAGUUUUUGGAUACCAAAGUCCAUUACAUUCAUAGCUUUUGGAGAUUGGCAAUUUGAUUGUGUUGGCACAGUGCUGCGAUGGGAAAUUAAGAAGUGCACUCAAAACUCAGUCGAGCUGAGGCAGAACUGUUGAAGGAGGCAGUGAAUCCAGUCCUGUAGCAAACAUCAGGAUGAUCCUGAGGAAGACUCCAGUUUCUUGUUCUGAAAAAAGAAAAGAAAAGAGGUAACAAUGGAAUAAUAUGAAAUAUGUACACAACAACAAUAAAAUGUGACGUUACAAUC